AGAGUUUGAUCAUGGCUCAGAUUGAACGCUGGCGGCAUGCCUUACACAUGCAAGUUGAACGGCAGCGCGGGAGCAAUCCUGGCGGCGAGUGGCGAACGGGUGAGUAAUAUAUCGGAACGUGCCCUGUAGCGGGGGAUAACCUAUCGAAAGAUGGACUAAUACCGCAUACGCUCUACGGAGGAAAGCGGGGGUCGCAAGACCUCGCACUAUAGGAGCGGCCGAUAUCGGAUUAGCUAGUUGGCGGGGUAAAAGCCCACCAAGGCGACGAUCCGUAGCUGGUCUGAGAGGAUGAUCAGCCACACUGGAACUGAGACACGGUCCAGACUCCUACGGGAGGCAGCAGUGGGGAAUUUUGGACAAUGGGCGCAAGCCUGAUCCAGCCAUGCCGCGUGAGUGAAGAAGGCCUUCGGGUUGUAAAGCUCUUUCGGCAGGAACGAAAUGGUUCGUGCUAAUACCACGGACUGAUGACGGUACCUGAAGAAGAAGCACCGGCUAACUACGUGCCAGCAGCCGCGGUAAUACGUAGGGUGCAGGCGUUAAUCGGAAUUACUGGGCGUAAAGCGUGCGCAGGCGGUUUCUUAAGUCAGAUGUGAAAGCCCCGGGCUUAACCUGGGAACUGCGUUUGAAACUGGGAGACUUGAGUGUGGCAGAGGGGGGUGGAAUUCCACGUGUAGCAGUGAAAUGCGUAGAUAUGUGGAGGAACACCGAUGGCGAAGGCAGCCCCCUGGGUUAACACUGACGCUCAUGCACGAAAGCGUGGGGAGCAAACAGGAUUAGAUACCCUAGUAGUCC
This 792-nucleotide ribosomal RNA is filed under the name uncultured bacterium. RNAcentral's name for it is "bacterial SSU rRNA". It matches the Rfam family "Bacterial small subunit ribosomal RNA", at positions 8 to 796 of the family's 1533-position model. The record is from RNAcentral.